Molecule: long non-coding RNA, 2039 nt
Organism: Melospiza melodia melodia
Lineage: Eukaryota; Metazoa; Chordata; Aves; Passeriformes; Passerellidae
Exons: 3
Source: RefSeq, a predicted model, not a curated record
CCCAUUUUGGGGUUCCCCAUUCCCAGCCCCAUUUCGGGGGACCCCAGCCCCAUUUCGGGGACCCCCAAACCCCCGGACCCCACUGGGACCCUGGGCUGGGAUUUGGGGUUUUUGGUUGCGGAUUUUGGGUUUCCAGGCGCGGAUUUUGGGGUUUCAGGGGCGGAUUUGGGAUUUCCCGGUGCAGAUUUUGGGGCUUUGGGUGCAGAUUUGGGGUUUCCAGGUAUAAAUUUGCACUUUUUGGGUGCAGAUUUGGGGUUUUCAGGUGUAAAUUUGCACUUUUUGGGUGCAGAUUUGGGGUUUUCAGGUGUAAAUUUGCACUUUUUCGGUGCAGAUUUGGGGUUUCCGGUGCAGAUUUGGGAUUUUUGGGUGCAGAUUUGGGAUUUUUGGGUGCAGAUUUGGGUUUCCAUGUACGAAUUUGGGGUUUCCAUGUGCGGAUUUGGGGUUUUCAGGUGCAAAUUUUCCCUUUUUGGGUGCGGAUUUGGGGUUUUUGGGUGCGGAUUUUGGGUUUCCAGGUGCGGGUUUGGGGUUUCAGGGGCGGAUUUGGGAUUUCCCGGUGCAGAUUUUGGGGCUUUGGGUGCAGAUUUGGGGUUUCCAGGUGUAAAUUUGCACUUUUUGGGUGCAGAUUUGGGGUUUCCAGGUGUAAAUUUGCACUUUUUGGGUGGAGAUUUGGGGUUUCCGGUGCAGAUUUGGGAUUUUGGGUGCAGAUUUGGGAUUUCCAUGUACGAAUUUGGGUUUCCAUGUGCGGAUUUGGGGUUUUCAGGUGCAAAUUUUCCCUUUUUGGGUGCGGGUUUUGGGGUUUCCAGGUGCGGAUUUGGGGUUUUUGGGUGCAGAUUUGGGGUUUUGGGUGCAGAUUUGGGGUUUUUGGGUGCGGAUUUUCCCUUUUUGGGUGCGGGUUUUUGGGUUUCCAAGUGUAAAUUUGGGGGUUCAGGUGUAGAUUUUGGGUUUUUCCAGGUGCGGAUUUGGGGUUUCCAGGUGUGAAAUUUGGGGAUUUGGGUGCGGAUUUGGGGUUUCCAGGUGCUGUUUUUGGAUUUUCAGGUGCAAAUUUUCCGUUUUUGGGUGCAGAUUUGGAUUUUUUGGGUGCAGAUUUGGGGUGUCUGGGUACAAAUUUUCCCUUUUUGGGUGCAGAUUUGGGGUUUUCAGGUGCAAAUUUUCCUUUUUGGGUGCAGAUUUGGGGUUUUCAGGUGCAAAUUUUCCCUUUUUGGGUGCGGAUUUGGGGUUUCCAUGUACGGAUCUGCUGGGUUUGGUUUCAGAUUUGGGGUUUUCAGGUGCAAAUUUUCGCUUUUCGGGUGCAGAUUUGGGGGUUUUGGAUGCAAAUUUUUGCUUUUUUUGGGUGCAGAUUUGGGGUUCCCGUGUACGAAUUUGUGAUUUUUGGGUGCAGAUUUGGGGUGUCUGGGUACAAAUUUUCGCUUUUUGGGUGCAGAUUUGGCAUUUUUGGGUGCAGAUUUUCCCUUUUUGGGUGCAACUUUUCCCUUUUUGGGUGCAGAUUUUCGCUUUUUGGGUGCAGAUUUGGCGGUUUUAGGUGCAGAUUUUCCCUUUUUGGGUGCAGAUUUUCCCUUUUUAGGUGCAGAUUUUCCCUUUUUGGAUGCAACUUUUCCCUUUUUGGGUGUAAAUUUUCCCUUUUGGUGUUCAGCUUUUCCCUUUUUUGGGUGCAGAUUUGGCAUUUUUAGGUGCAGAUUUUCCCUUUUUGGGUGCAACUUUUCCCUUUUUGGGUGCAGAUUUGGGGUUUUUGGGUGCAGAUUUUCCCUUUUUGGGUGCAGAUUUGGCAUUUUUAGGUGCAGAUUUUCCCUUUUUGGGUGCAGAUUUUGGGGUUUUCAGGUGCAAAUUUUCGCUCUUUGGGUGCAGAUUUGGGGUUUUUGGGUGCAGAUUUUCGCUUUUUGGGUGCAGAUUUGGCGGUUUUAGGUGCAGAUUUUCCCUUUUUAGGUGCAGAUUUUCCCUUUUUGGGUGCAGCUUUUCCCUUUUUUGGGUGUAAAUUUUCCCUUUUGGUGUUCAGCUUUUCCUUUUUUGGGUGCGGAUUUUCCCUUUUCGGGCUCCGUUUCUGG